RNAcentral lists this ribosomal RNA (255 nucleotides) under uncultured bacterium. RNAcentral describes it as "partial 16S ribosomal RNA". It matches the Rfam family "Bacterial small subunit ribosomal RNA", at positions 99 to 354 of the family's 1533-position model. The record is from RNAcentral.
CGGACGGGUGAGUAACGCGUGGGUAACCUGCCUCACACAGGGGGAUAACAGUUAGAAAUGACUGCUAAUACCGCAUAAGCGCACAAAACCGCAUGGUUUGGUGUGAAAAACUGAGGUGGUAUGAGAUGGACCCGCGUCUGAUUAGCUAGUUGGAGAGGUAACGGCUCACCAAGGCAACGAUCAGUAGCCGACCUGAGAGGGUGACCGGCCACAUUGGGACUGAGACACGGCCCAAACUCCUACGGAAGGCAGCAG